Molecule: non-coding RNA, 74 nt
Organism: Rhodocyclales bacterium GWA2_65_20
Lineage: Bacteria; Pseudomonadati; Pseudomonadota; Betaproteobacteria; Rhodocyclales
Source: Rfam
CGGGGUGUAGCGCAGCCCGGUAGCGCGCUUGCUUUGGGAGCAAGAUGUCGGGGGUUCGAAUCCCUCCACCCCGA